GCCUUCAUCCCAGCAGCCGAAAACCCUACCCUGUCUUCCCUUUCACCUUCAGCAAGUUCACCAAACUUGAAGCCCAUAGCAAUACCCACGGUUCCUUAUCUUGUUCCAUGGAGGAUGGAAACAGAAAUCUGAGAUAGGGGGCAGAGAAGGGGGAAAUCGUAAACACAACACACACCCAUGAAGCACCGUUGGCCAAACUGAGAAGAGGGGAGAUGAGGAAGCACGGCGCCGGCGGGCGUCACUAUCGCAGCGCCGCCGUGUUGCAUCAGGGAGGAUGAGCGAGCGGGGAACAACCACGAGAGAGAGAGGGUCGCGCCGCCACGGUCGUCCAGGAGAAACGCCGGAGAAGAAGCUGCUGCGCUGCCCAGAACCGCAUUCGACCCGCCGCCGAUCAAGCUCCAGUUGCCGUCACCCUCGUGCAGUCGCUGCCGCGAAGUGGCCUUGCAUCUGCCGCCGUCUUCGUGGGGCUUGUGGGGUCGCGGUCGCUCCUCGCCGUGGAGCCCGUGUCGUUGCCUUUCAGCGACCGCCAGAGCAGAAACGCGCACGAGGGAGCUACGGAGAGGAUGAGGUGCGAUGGUGGUGGGUGGUUCCACCAUCCUUGUCGUGCCGUCAGAGUUUGCCGCCAUGGCUGCUGGUCUCCUAGCUGCUGCUGUGGUUGGGGGUAUGCUGUGUAUGGUCGCCAGAAAGCCUCUCUGCCAUUGCCGGAAAACCUCUCUGCCGCCGGAGGCCGCUCUACUGGUAAGGGUGUUAAAUUUGUGGUUUCGGUCAUUUUGGAUUUUGAGAAGGUUUUGAUGCUGCGCGGUUUUUAUAGUUGAUCCACCGGAGCUUCUGGCCACCGUCGGAGCUGUUGCCGGGGCCGGUUCGAAAUUGCACCUGCUUCGUUUUGUUAAUUCAAGUCGUUGAGAUUGUUGCAAAAAACAAGCGGAGCCGGGAUUUUGGUUGUUGAUUUCGGAUUGAGGCGGAAGGGACUCUGUGAGACGUUUGGGUUAUGGAAUUUGCGUUUUGAGGAUAUGAGCGCAGAAGUCACGAAGAGUUUAUUUAGUUGUUGUUGAAAUGCUCUGUAUUGCUUUAGAUUAUUAUUUAUUGUACCCUCGCCUUUAUCUUGAUAUAUUUUGUAAGAGGGAUAGAAAUUGUAUUGG
This is a long non-coding RNA of Arachis duranensis, 1139 nucleotides long. RefSeq lists it as uncharacterized. NCBI's taxonomy places the organism in Eukaryota, Viridiplantae, Streptophyta, Magnoliopsida, Fabales, Fabaceae. The record is from RefSeq and is a predicted model, not a curated record. The transcript is spliced from 3 exons.